AAGUCGUAACAAGGUUUCCGUAGGUGAACCUGCGGAAGGAUCAUUACAUUCAGUAGCUUGCUACUGGUCGGGAGGCGCUGUAACUCCGCAUAGUAUUAAUUUACUGAUGAGCGGCAGGCCCUCUGUCUGUACCCUUGUCUUUUGCGCACUCAUGUUUCCUCGGCGGGCUUGCCCGCCGAUUGGACAAAACUAUAACCUUUUUAAUUUUCAAUCAGCGUCUGAAAAAACUUAAUAAUUACAACUUUCAACAACGGAUCUCUUGGUUCUG
Molecule: unclassified non-coding RNA, 268 nt
Filed under: air metagenome
Description: partial contains small subunit ribosomal RNA, internal transcribed spacer 1, and 5.8S ribosomal RNA
Rfam family: Eukaryotic small subunit ribosomal RNA (bases 1-46)
Source: RNAcentral